GCCUCCAGCCACACCACUCAGAACACACCAGUCUUGUCUGAUCCUGGAAGCUAAGCAGAGUCAGGUCUGGUUAGUGCUUGGAUGGGAGGGAGCAGAAGCCAGCCAGGAAGCA
Molecule: ribosomal RNA, 112 nt
Filed under: Meriones unguiculatus (Mongolian gerbil)
Lineage: Eukaryota; Metazoa; Chordata; Mammalia; Rodentia; Muridae
Source: RNAcentral